AUUCCCGUUGAUCCUGCGGGAGGUUGCUGCUAUUGGGAUCCGAUUAAGCCAUGCAAGUCUUCUCGCAAGAGAGGCAAACUGCUCAGUAACACGUCGAUAAUCUGCCCUUAGGUCUGGAAUAACCUCGGGAAACUGAGGAUAAUGCCGGAUAGGGAAAUCCAACUGGAAGGUGGAUUUCUUCAAACGCAAGGCCUAAGGAUGAGUCGGCGGCGGAUUAGGUUGUUGGUGAGGUAACGGCCCACCAAGCCGAAGAUCCGUAGGGGCCUUGAGAGAGGUAGCCCCGAGAAGGGCACUGAGAUACUGGCCCUAGCCCCACGGGGUGCAGCAGGCGCGAAACCUUUACAAUGCACGCAAGUGUGAUAAGGGGAUCCCAAGUGCUUUGCUUUUAGCAAGGCUUUUGCUAUACGUAAAUAGUAUAGCGAAUAAGUGGUGGGCAAUACCUGUGCCAGCCGCCGCGGUAACCCAGGAGCCACAAGUGGCAACCACCUUUAUUGGGCCUAAAGCGUCCGUAGCCGGAAAUCGUUGGGCUUAACCUAACGGCAUGCAGAAAAGACUGUUAAACUAGGGAUUGGGAGGAGUCAGAGGUAUUUCUGGGGGAGCGGUAAAAUGCUAUAAUCCCAGAAGGACCCCCUGUGGCGAAGGCGUCUGACUAGAACGAAUCCGACGGUGAGGGACGAAAGCUAGGGGAGCAAUCCGGAUUAGAUAUUGGGAUUUUCGAAUUGAAGAUAAGAGUUUCACUGAUUGCAAUAAUACUACUGGUGAAAUUCAAAGAAUACCAAAAAUUCCGACUAAUUACCCGAGUAGUCCUGGCUGUAAACGCUGCGAGCUAGGUGUUGCACAUUCUUCGGGAAUGUGCAGUGUCGUAGUGAAGAUGUUAAGCUCGCCGCCUGGGAAGUAUGGUCGCAAGACUGAAACUUAAAGGAAUUGGCGGGGGAGCACUACAAGGGGUGCGGCGUGCGGUUUAAUCUAAUUCAACGCCGAGAGGUAGUGCAUGGCCGUCGUCAGCUCGUGCCGUAAGGUGUCCUGUUAAGUCAGGCAACGAGCGAGACCUGCACCUACAAUUGCUAAUAGGUUCUUUGAACGACUGAGCACAUUGUAGGAACUGCCUCUGAAAAGAGGAGGAAGGCGCAGGCUACGGUAGGUCUGUAUGCUCCGAAUCUUCUGGGCUACACGCGCGCAACAAUGGCAGAGAUAAUGGGAUGCAACUCCGAAAGGAGAAGCCAAUCCUCCAAACUCUGUCUUGGUCCAAAUCGAGGAUUGCAACUCAUCCUCGUGACGUUGGAAUCCCUAGUAAUCGGACUUUAUCAUAGUCCGGUGAAUAUGUCCCUGCUCCUUGCACACACCGCCCGUCAAACCACCCGAGCAGGGUUUAGAUGAGGCUUAAUUUUUAAUUAAGUCAAAUCUAAGCUCAGCGAGGAGGGUUAAGUCGUCACAAGGUAGCCGUAGGGGAACCUGCGGCUGGAUCACCUCCU
This 1472-nucleotide ribosomal RNA is filed under the name Candidatus Woesearchaeota archaeon. RNAcentral's name for it is "bacterial SSU rRNA". It matches the Rfam family "Archaeal small subunit ribosomal RNA". The record is from RNAcentral. Lineage: Archaea; Nanobdellati; Candidatus Woesearchaeota.